This 634-nucleotide ribosomal RNA is filed under the name Carabus fairmairei fairmairei. RNAcentral's name for it is "eukaryotic LSU rRNA". It matches the Rfam family "Eukaryotic large subunit ribosomal RNA", at positions 672 to 1262 of the family's 3401-position model. The record is from RNAcentral. Lineage: Eukaryota; Metazoa; Arthropoda; Insecta; Coleoptera; Carabidae.
AGUCUAGCAUGUGCGCGAGUCAUUGGGACUCAAUAAACCUAAAGGCGCAAUGAAAGUGAAAGUCUGUUUACGCGGACUUAGGGAGGAUAGGUGCGUAUACGUUGUUUACAACCUCGCACUCCCGGGGCGUCUCGCACUCAUUGCGAGGUGGGGCGCACCAAGAGCGUACACGCUGGGACCCGAAAGAUGGUGAACUAUGCCUGGUCAGGACGAAGUCAGGGGAAACCCUGAUGGAGGUCCGUAGCGAUUCUGACGUGCAAAUCGAUCGUCGGAACUGGGCUUAGGGGCGAAAGACUAAUCGAACCAUCUAGUAGCUGGUUCCCACCGAAGUUUCCCUCAGGAUAGCUGGCACUAGAUUAUGGAUGAGUCUCAUCCGGUAAAGCGAAUGAUUAGAGGCAUUGGGGUCGAAACGGCCUCAACCUAUUCUCAAACUUUAAAUGGGUGAGAUCUCCGGCUUGCUCGAUUUAUGAAGCCGGAGAUCGGAUCAAUUAGUGCCAAGUGGGCCACUUUUGGUAAGCAGAACUGGCGCUGUGGGAUGAACCAAACGCAGAGUUAAAGCGCCAAAAUCGACGCUUAUGGGAUACCAUGAAAGGCGUUGGUAACUUAAGACAGCAGGACGGUGGCCAUGGAAGUC